Molecule: transfer RNA, 73 nt
Filed under: Candidatus Fibrimonadaceae bacterium
Lineage: Bacteria; Pseudomonadati; Fibrobacterota; Fibrobacteria; Candidatus Fibrimonadales; Candidatus Fibrimonadaceae
Description: tRNA-Trp
Rfam family: tRNA
About the family: Transfer RNA (tRNA) molecules are approximately 80 nucleotides in length. Their secondary structure includes four short double-helical elements and three loops (D, anti-codon, and T loops).
Source: RNAcentral
AGGCUAAUAGCUCAAUUGGUAGAGUAGCGGUCUCCAAAACCGCCGGUUGGGGGUUCGAGCCCCUCUUAGCCUG